AAACUUAGAGAUGAAUGAAGCACUG
RNAcentral lists this non-coding RNA (25 nucleotides) under Cricetulus griseus (Chinese hamster). Lineage: Eukaryota; Metazoa; Chordata; Mammalia; Rodentia; Cricetidae. The record is from RNAcentral.